RNAcentral lists this ribosomal RNA (464 nucleotides) under uncultured bacterium. RNAcentral describes it as "bacterial SSU rRNA". It matches the Rfam family "Bacterial small subunit ribosomal RNA", at positions 338 to 795 of the family's 1533-position model. The record is from RNAcentral.
CCUACGGGUUGCAGCAGUGGGGAAUAUUGCACAAUGGGCGCAAGCCUGAUGCAGCCAUGCCGCGUGUGUGAAGAAGGCCUUCGGGUUGUAAAGCACUUUCAGCGGGGGGAAGGCGGUGAGGUUAAUAACCUCACCGAUUGACGUUACCCGCAGAAGAAGCACCGGCUAACUCCGUGCCAGCAGCCGCGGUAAUACGGAGGGUGCAAGCGUUAAUCGGAAUUACUGGGCGUAAAGCGCACGCAGGCGGUCUGUCAAGUCGGAUGUGAAAUCCCCGGGCUCAACCUGGGAACUGCAUUCGAAACUGGCAGGCUAGAGUCUUGUAGAGGGGGGUAGAAUUCCAGGUGUAGCGGUGAAAUGCGUAGAGAUCUGGAGGAAUACCGGUGGCGAAGGCGGCCCCCUGGACAAAGACUGACGCUCAGGUGCGAAAGCGUGGGGAGCAAACAGGAUUAGAUACCCGUGUAGUC